GAUGGCAAUAGGUGUGUGCCUAUGUUUUUAUUGUUUUGAUCUGGUCAAGUUCACACGGGUUCUUAUUUUCAUAAGGCCAAAUGGUGUUCAUCAAUGCUUUCGAUAUCUUUCCUCUUUUUGCUAUGUAUGUUUUCAUGAUAUUUCUCUUGUCCUUUACAUAAAAUAUCUUUUCAUUGCCCCUCGGAUGACUCCCAAAUGUUGUUUUUCAUCUGUCAAAAAAGGUGCUUUGCCUGAUAAUAAUUUUUUUGUUAUGUUUGUUCAACAGUACACAGCAACAUUGAUUGUGCUAGGCGUGAUGGAAACGUGAUGCUCGCAGACACUUGUCAAGAUGCGGAAGGAUGGGGACACAAUGGUGGGGAACUUGGGUAUAUGAAUGAUAGACAUGAUCAGAAUAUGCAUACCACAUUAGGUUGACAUGGAGUGGAGAGGAGCCAAGGUAGGGGUGGUGAAGGGAGGCAUUGGAAGAACAAAGAAGAAGGUAUUUGGCAAGAAAUAAGGCAGAAAAAUCAGUUGGGCACAUAACGUUUAGCAAAAAUGAGCUCACCAUUUUCGAGUGUUUACUACAUCCUGGUCAUCUACAAGUACUACAAGACAUCAUAUAAUUAGGAAACCAUGCAAUGUCCUGUUGUUUGAGGUUGCCCCCAUUUGCAACUGGAUGUUCUGUGUGUGAUGCAAGUUGCAUGUUGUGUUCAGCUCAACGAGUUCCAGUGGCUUUGUGACAACAAGCACAGGCGAACGAACCUGCCGUUGAGGUGGGUCGCACAGCAGAGCAAAUGGCAGAGGUGCCCCAAGCACAAGAUCUACGUAGACAGAAAGGAUGGCUGCACCUUCAUUGCUUGAAGAUAACUACUGCUUUGUUGGCUUUUCCUAAAAUGGCGUACGUUGGAGUCUAAAUCGAUUGAGUGCCACGGAUGAACGCAGCAGUAUCCGUAUAAUGAAAGUGAAGUUUCUGGACAAAUCCAACUACAAAUUCUGGGAACGAGUUAAAUAUUCGACCAAUAUAACAUCCAUGCUGAACUAGCUACCUAUCCUGCACAUGGAACACAUCGUCAAGUCAAGCGAGUAAAGAAACUAUUUCAAGACAUGUCAGUUCACCAAUCUCCUGUAUUGAGUUGUAGGUUAUCAUAAGAAGAAGCAAUUAGACAUUGAAUCUUCGCUUCACCAAUCCCAGGUACCUCUGAUUUCUUAAAUGAUUAUCUGUCAACAAAAUUGUUCGAUGUUAAGGCAGUGGUUGCUGAGAUGAGGAAAAAUUCCCGAUAUGGUAGAGGACUGACGAUUUCCUGACAAUGGGGGCCUAAUUUAGUAUUUGCAUGAAGCAUCAUUGGAUUAUCCAUGGAGAGACAAUUUAUAAUUAUCAGAAAGGCACCACCGAUGUCCAAGUCGUCUUUGGUGUAUGCGUCGUCUUUGUCCGCUUCCUUCACAUGCUCUUCGUUGCCACCGAUCGACCUUGCGUAGCACCCAACACGCCGUGAGUGAGGAGUUUUCGGCCAAGCACUAUAAGAAGGAUGAUUUUUGCUACCUCAAGAGGAUUAUCCUUAAGUUGUUUUGAGGAGAAAGGGGAUGACCAAGAUGAUUUUCUGCAACCAUAUUUACAUCUUUAGAGCAUACUUUGGUCAGGACGUUGGCGGUAGCUACCAUGUUGCUUCAACACGAUGGAGUAGUGCAUGUAGUUCUUGACGAUUGUUAGUUGGUUUUUUAAGGAAAAAACUGUAUUAGAUUGUUUGGUCAUUCAUAGAUUUUAAUGUCUUGACACUAUAAUACUAGCUUGGUCAGUAAUUUCCCCACAUUUUAUGAAAGAUUUUUAAAUAGAACAACGAUGUGAACGGGAAUCCUCUGAAAAGGAAUUUGAGUUCUAGAGAGCUUUGUUGGGUUACCACACCAUAUUUUUGCAUGGAAGUUAAAUCAUCGGAGUGGGAGUUUGAGGCAACAGUAAUGGCAAAACUUGAGCUGCUAACCGAGCCCGCAAUUUUGUUAUUCUAGGCUUGUUUGGGCUGAAAUUUCUCCCAACCAUCAAGGAAGUACGACUGGAUGUCGUCUUUUUUAUCAUUGUAUAGGUGGAUAUUUUGGGGGCACACGUCAUUUUAACACCACUAUGUUUCUGAAGUAGCUGACUAUAGUUGUAAUGGACAUACAUUCUUUGAAGAAUUAAAGGUAUUACUCACUUGAUUUAAUAGCUCAUUUUAUGCAUAUUCAAAAUACUGAAUGAUAGAAUGAUAUGCUGCCCGUGAUAGUUGUUUCUUGUUUUAUUGUACGUUGGAGCUUUUACUUGUAAUUUGAUCUACUUAUCCACUUUUUAUCAUGAAUAGUAUGACCAAUGAGGUAGAGGUGAAAUGCUCUGUAAAUAAAGAGAGACUAAGAUGAUUUCCUAUACUACAAUUUUGUAGAGAUGUGGAGAAGGAAAGUGUUACUGUUCUUUCAAUAAAGUUUCAUGUUCUGAGUCUGCAUGGCAUGAAAUACUCUAAUUUUUUUCUUUUAGUUUCUUGAGAUGAACAAGUCGCCAUGGACAGGUGAGAUCGAAAGAUGGCACCAUGGUCACGAGGAGCGGCGACUGAGAGGAGAGGAAACAAAUACCGGCGGCCGCAACGGCCCGAGCGUUUGGGAGAUGGGAUGGAGUGGCGGCUGUGGGGCCGUGUCGACCUGACCAGUUGCGAGAGCGGUGGCUGCACGGAUGCACUCGUGGAGGUGUCGGUAUGCACCCUGGUUUUGAUCCUGUUCGGUGGUAGCGGAAGAGAGGCAAUCAUGGAGGUGACAGGCGCAAUGGCUUGAGCAUGCUGGUAACCACACAACAAAUGGUCAUCCCAAGUUUGUAUGGCUGAGUUCAUUGGUUGCUCCAGUAUACUUCCCAGACAGUGCUUUAAAUCAUCAAAGCUUGACGUUGUUCCUUGUCAUAGAGGAGCUACUUAGAAGGAGAGGUGGAGAUGAUGUAUCCAAGGAGAUGCCACCACUGCUGGUUGGGGCAUCGCUCUUCGCGUGUGUGUUUGUUGCCGAUGCUCGCAUGUGGAUGGUAUGCAUGUUUCAGAUAGUAUUGCAUUCAACAAUAGAUAAGUUUCAAUAGAUACGUUUGUGAUUCCAUGGCAACACACGGGCAUUCAACUAAAUUUACCUUCCUGAGAUUAGGAAUAGAUCAGAAAGAAGGUGACGUGAUAUAGGGCAUUCAACAAUGACAUGGAAGCUACAUGCAGAUUCAAGGGGCAAUAAAUUGAGAGGUGAAUGAUGAGGGAAGGUGAUGGACAACAUGUUCAACGAGAAAGAGCGGCUAGAGGGUUGUGUGGUGUUUCUAAGAAUAUAGAGAAGAACAUACUUGUAUUUGUGUUUUGGUUGAACAUCGCAUGCAAUGUGCUCAUUUGUGGGGAGAAAAAUAAGCAUUGUUUACAAGUUCAUUUGUUGGCCCGUGGCAACGCACGGGCAAUCUUUAAACACUUAUUAAGGAACAUGCUAAGGAUGGAGGAACGGACGUCAAGUUCCAGCUGCAUAUUAUUCAGCUCGAUUCAUUGCUCAGGAUAAUUCAGAAUCUAAAAUUUGAAGGGAAAGCUAGGAGUCAUUAAUGAUAGGUACGGAAGUUGGUGGACACCUACAAGGAUGUGGAGAUGAGCAUCAUCAUGAUGCGGCACAACCUCGGGGCGGCGCUGGCCACCCUCAACACGUUCGAAAUUUUUGAGAAUGGCCAGUCACGGCGUUUGCGUUUGUUAGGCCGCGCGUGGGCGGCGCCAGCUUUAAGAAGCGGUUCCGGUUUGUUUUCGCCAUACCUGAGGGCGUCGCUGUCCGGUUUAUUUUUGCUGUUCGGAUCACCGCAAGGAGGAGAAAGCAACAUGAAGUUUCUGGGGCGGGUAAUGCUCUUCACGUCCAUGGUUGAGUUUAAUUGAUUUUUUUAAUGAUAAGGGAGGUCAUGGAUUCGUAGUCGUGGUGCAUGUUAUGUAUUUUUCUGAACUAUUUUUCAAUAUGUUGAAUCAUGUGAGAGUAUUUCCAGUUUCCACACAAAUAUACAAACUCAUCUCCAUGCUAUAUUUUAGGAUAGGCUACAGAUGUCUAUGUUCUUUCAUCCAGCCCAUGACGCAAACUUCUUCCAUGUGCCAAAUUUGCUCUAAAUAAUGUUGUCAUUGAGAAAAUUAUUGUGUGUGGCUCUUCCAGCUGUACAUUUGGUACGAUUUGCUCCCGCAUGCGUGAUGUGGUUAUGAUUUUCUGGUGCCUAUUUUUUUGCAAAGAUUAACAAUAUUUGGAAGAUGGUAUGGUUUGCCGGACCGGAACUAGAACAAGAACAAGAAUGAGAAGGAGCUUAAGUAGGGCCAUGUCAGGGUGUUGCUGCAAUAGGAAAUUGUCGCCAGCACUAAAUACCAGGGGAACCAAUUUUUUUCUACAAAGGUAACAAACUUUAUGCGUCUAAUUGAACUAUAAAUUAUUGCCUAUAUAGAGGGACCAAAUCGAGCAGGCCAUAAACAACCUAUUCCUGCUUAUCUUUGUUUUCUUUGUAUUUGUAUUAUUAAUCUUGGUUUCAACUGGCGUGUUGAGUGCAAUCUUCCGGGUGCAAUCCUCAAAUAUGGGAUGUCAGUACUAGCCUUAAUUCAACAUCUGGAUUGGCUUAUGAUGGCAUGGAGUUCCAUCGUUUCGGCUGCUCGCGGCGGGGAGUGUGUGGCCGGUGCUUGCGGCAACAGCGGAGUGGCAUGCGCGAGCGCGGUGUAGGCAGUGGCCAAAGGCUCAUCGGCCGCUGCGAGUACGCCGUUGGCACCAGUAUCAUGACAUUGUAAUAUAAAUCUUGAUUCAAGAUAAAUGAAACCUUUCCUAUAUACAAUCAGCUUUUUAUUGAAAGUUGCAUUUGAUGGUUUA
This is a long non-coding RNA of Triticum aestivum (bread wheat), 4821 nucleotides long. RefSeq lists it as uncharacterized. The record is from RefSeq and is a predicted model, not a curated record. The transcript has 11 exons. NCBI's taxonomy places the organism in Eukaryota, Viridiplantae, Streptophyta, Magnoliopsida, Poales, Poaceae.